UAAUUACUAACUAACCACGCCAGGGGAUUACAGCCAUGCUUAAAACCCAAAGGAUUUGACGGUGUCCCAUCCCACUAGAGGAGCCUGUUCUAUAAUCGAUAAUCCCCGCUAUACCUCACCACUCCUAGCCAUUCAGUCUGUAUACCUCCGUCGAAAGCCUACCAUAUGAAUGCUCUUAGUAGGCACAACGAUGCCCAUCAACACGUCAGGUCAAGGUGCAGCUCACGCAGUGGAAAGCAAUGGGCUACAAUUUCUAAAUUAGAACAAACGAAAAACUAUUUGAAACAAUAGUUUGAAGGUGGAUUUAUCAGUAAAAAGAAAAUAGAGAGUUCUUUUUAACUCGGCUCUGGGACGUGUACAAACCGCCCGUCACCCUCUUCAAAUUACCUAUUUUUAGUUUAUAACCACACUUAUUACCCUUAGAAGAGGUAAGUCGUAACAUGGUAAGUGUACUGGAAAGUGCACUUGGCUUAUUUCAAAAUGUAGUUUAACCAAACCCACUCGCUUACACCGAGACAAUAUCUGUUUGAAUCAGAUCAUUUUGAGCCUAUAAUCUAGCCCAACCCCCCCCCCCAUGACCCUUCUAUAUUACAAUUUUUAAAUAAAACAUUUUAAUGCCUUAGUACAGGAGAUCAAAAAGACUCACAGGCGCCUCAGAUAAAGUACCGUAAGGGAAGGAUGAAAUAUAAUGAAAUAUCG
RNAcentral lists this ribosomal RNA (699 nucleotides) under Hylarana chalconota (copper-cheeked frog). RNAcentral describes it as "partial 12S ribosomal RNA". The stretch from base 1 to 481 matches the Rfam family "Bacterial small subunit ribosomal RNA", at positions 853 to 1533 of the family's 1533-position model. Lineage: Eukaryota; Metazoa; Chordata; Amphibia; Anura; Ranidae. The record is from RNAcentral.